UCUCUCUCUCUCUCUCUCUCUAAGUUCUGUUUGUUUGGUUGCCGAGAAUUUUUGAGCAGAAGAGUUUGGAUCGAUUGGCGUUAUUUUCUGUUUGGGUGCUCAGAAACUCAAGGACAAGAACAAAGACUUGUCAGUGAAGGUUGAAGAAGGAUUUGGACCAAAUGGGUUAGGAAUCCUAUUAAUCUCUCAUGUAUGAUUACGUUACUUAAUUUCAAAUGUUUGUCUGUAUUGUCGUUUCAAUCUCUUUUGAUUCGUUCUACUCCUUCUUUUCGUUUACUUAAUUCUGGCAUUAUGCAUAUUUGUUUGACAAUAGAAUUUUCGGUUUGGGUUUUUAUCUACAUCUGCAGAAAGAAUCUGUUAAUGAUUCGGUUAAAAUGAUGAAACACAGGCUUAUCAGAUGUGAAAUCGAAAUGUUUGUUAGCUUGCCAUGAACACACCUAUGUCACGUUGGCGUACUUUGUUCUUCAUGGAUUGUAGAUUUUGCUGUUUUGGCGACGAUAUUUUGCUCCAUUAUUCCGUUCUCAUGUAGUAAUCUGAUAAGUAUUUGCUUUCCAGAAUCAUUGUAAUCGGGUCCUUGAGUUGCCAAUUGCAGGUUCCAGGAUAUUCUUCCUUGCGUCGAGAACUUUUACACCUGUCCCGUAGGUUUAACCUUCUAAACAGGAUUUCGAUGUUCAUUUUUACCUGCAAUUCAGAUGAUUCAGGAAGAUAGUUUGAUAUAGCAGUGGUCAUGGGAGUUUUUCUUUUCGUUUAUUAGAUUAGCCAAUCUCCCUGAAGAGGUGAAGAAGGAACUUGAAGAUCCUCAUAGCAGGUCGUCUUUGGAGAAGAUGCAAUAGCAUGCCAAAUUGGCGAAACCACUGAAGUUCUGUCAAGAGGCUAUCUUUGUGCAACGCCUCAUUGUGUCCGGUCACUGUUUCGAUUCACUGGUUGUUUGUCAGGGCACCCAAGGGAGCGGAGGCUUCUGGUCUUGAUCGUUCGACAUUUGCAUUAUUCAUGCAACGGGACUGGUUUGUACGUUGAUUGUCACCAUAUGAUAUCUUAAGCAUGGUUGUUUGUAGCUAAUCACUGUUCGUUUUGCAGGGACGAAGAGUUUAAUUUUCCAGAGGAGCUAGAUUCAUAUUCAUAAACAGGUAAUGUACUCUUAAUCCCAAAUUAACCAUGUCAGAAGCAUUGUUUUAAAAAUCUCUGCCUACCGUUGCCUAGGCCCCGUCUCACGUGUGUUUUUAAUUAUAUUUAGACAUUUAUUUAUAUAAUAUAAUAAAUUUACCAAAAUUCGCCUAGUCUGCCUAAGCGCUAGACCCAACCCGCUGCUCGACUUGUGCCUAGUGUAGUGGUGGUGGAUCCAGGAUUUUAAACUCGGGGGGUUCCAUUAAUAAAGGUCAAAAAAUUUAUAGACAAAAAUGACAUUGAAAAGUUAAAUAUAAUACGUUUCAUUCAAAAAUCAUAUGCAAAACAACAUUACAAGCUAUAAAAUCCUAAUUCAAGUGUCCACAAUGAGGUUUCAUAGUUUGAAAAUGUUCCAUGAUAGCUUCAUUACCAAUACGUGAAAAAACAUAUUUCUCAAUGUAAACAACUAAGUUGUCACACUCAUUUUGUCUUGAGCUCGAACUACCCGAACAAGUAGAUGGUGCUAUUGGCUUUAGCUUGAAAAAUCUUUUUCAUAUUUCUUAUUUCUAAACUACACAAUUAACAAAAAACACAAAACAUAUACCAAUUAACCAAUAAACAAAAAUUUCAUCUAAAUUUCAAUGAUAAAAUGAGUAUACAAACAUAAAACAUAUCAACAAUCAUAUCAAUAGGUACCAUUUGGUACGCAGACGAGAUGAGACGGGACGGGACAGGACAGAGGUUCCGUGUAUGUUUGGUACGCGCAGGGACGGAACAGAACGGUUGUUCCGUGCUUGCAAAAAACAGAAAACCCCAACCCAAAUCAAACAAAUAAGAAAUCUUUCAGACCGAUUUUGAACAAAUCGUCAAGAAAAAACCAAGUGGGUAUCUCUCGAUUUCAAAACUUUUUCAGUAAAUUUUCGUUCUUUCUGGCCUUAAAACCAAAUUUAUCCCAAAUAUUUUACAGCAUAACAACAAAUGGUAAAGGAUGAGUAAUUAAGCAGUGAGCUCAUGAGAUGUUGUACCUUGCCAUGGAAGUGGUGCUUGUUCUUGAAAAUGGCGUUGUAGUAAGCGUCCAUGCGGACUCGAUCGGAGAGCUUCUCCUUCUGGUAAUAGCAGAAGGCAUAGGUGCAGAAGUAGUUGGCGAAGUCGAUGCCUUUCUUCACCAGGGCGCCGCCAGUGUCACCAUUGCUGGUGCGGCUUUGGUCCCUGCCACGACCGCCGUUUCUGAUAGCUCCCCAUGCCCUCGGAUGGAAGCGAGGAGGAAGAAGAAGGAGACGGAGAGGUUAUAAUUUUGUGUUCCACGGAUGUGGAACGAGUCGUUCCAAGGGGUGGAGGCGGAACGAAAAUUCACCCAAAACUCGUACCGUGGAACAACGCGUUCCACCCGUUUUAGGUGUACCAAACGUGGGACGGAACGCCUCGUCCCACUCUGUUAUGUCCCGUCCCACGUACCAAACGGUACCUAAUAGACUAAAAAUCUCCACCAAUAUCUAGUAUAAUUUAAUUGAGACUAGAUUAGAAUACCAAAAAACAGUUAAUGGUGGCAUGGAGAUUUGAAACAAGUGGAAGUAUGAUAUUGGAGUAAUGUAAUUAUAACAUGGGAUUGGGUGGGAUUAGAAAUUUAGGGUUUUGGGUGAAUAUAAGAAAGGUGGGGCAAAACAAUAUGGAGUGAUGAACAAACGACAGCUUUUGUCUCAUUGUUUUUUUUUUUUUUUUUUUUUUAAAUUAAAACAAUUGGCCAAAACACUGCCGUUUUGGACCAAUUGUUAAAAAUGGUCCCUGUUUUCUUUCUUCUCCCUGCGUUGUCUUCUUCUCCGCUGCAACUUGCAUAACAGCACAGACCUUGUGUUCGAGUACGAGGGGUCUCCUGAAAAUUUUCUAGCAGCGAUUUAGGGUUGCUGAGAGGUCCUGGGACCUCCCAGGUCCCUCUGUAGAUCCGCCACUAGCCUAGCGUCUUUCAAAAUCUUGACACAAAUCAAAAUGUUUAAGGCCCGCAUUCCUCUGCUCUGCUUCUUUCGUUUUCAAUUCGGGUCUCGUGUUUCAGUUGAUUCCACCAAACACUGCUCUUUCCUUUGGAGAGUAUUCAGAGAAGCUCCUUGACAAAUAUUACCACCUGAAAACAUAAAUGAUAAACCCCUACGUAUUUGGUCGGGGAAAUGUUAUUGGUACUUCAAAAAUCUCAUUCUACACUUCUCACAAAUGUAUUUUUCUUUCCAAAUAUAGAAAGUUUGGAGUGUACAAUGAAAGUUUUGGAGUGCCAAUAACAAUUCCUUUGAUAGAUCUAAUUACAAUGUAGUACCUAAACUAAACCGAUGGAAGUUUCUCCACUUGCACGAUUCAUUUCUUGUUGGCAGAUUUGUUCUUCCAUCACUUUCUUAUUUAAAUUGGCUUGUGAAUUAUCAUGGUUGUUUGAGUACCAAACAUUUGCAUACCCUCCUUUCUUCUGCCACUUGUUUGAGUACCGAACAUAGUAUUGAAAUCCAAUCUCACCUUCUACCCGUCAUUGGCAGAGAUUCUCCUGAAUCAUCGGAGCAUAUAAUAACUAUAAAAACUUGAUCUCCUUAAUUGUAGAUAAAAUCUCUCUAACAGAAAGUCAUCUCCAACGGUGAACUAAAUCCCAUAAUAUAGCCUUAAAACACUAAAAACCUAGCUCAACUAAGAGGGUAAAAGAAAAUAUUUUUUAAGUGACGGACCAAAAUUACAAUUAAAACUAAACUUAGAACACGGAAUUAUCAUCGACCGGUCAUUUAUCAUAUAAAGCUAUAAAAAAUUAUUAAAGCUCGAAUUAUAUUUAGCCCUCCACUGCUGGAGAUGGCCCGAGAGACCCGCCUCGCAAACUAAUCCAGCAAUCCCGAUGAUGUUGUAGGCGCCGUUGUUAUUUGUUUACUAACAAAUGGUGUGACGUGGACAACGAAUCACCGCCAUUGUCACAUACGGUAUGUCGUUUAUCGAAUGCGCGCGCUGGCCGACCUGCAGGUCGCUCUCACGCUCCCUAACACGGCCUUUCGCGUCUUGAAAGAUUAAAAAAACGUGGAUAAUAUAGACACGAGGAUUGGAACGUCAGCACACAAAACAAAUUAGUCUAAUCGGAUAAGGACAAAAGUGAGACGAGGGAGUUGCAUGGUGGGGGCUGCACGUGGACGUUGGUCAUUGGACACAGAUGGCCCAUCUGCAUUUCCACACACGGACUUGGAUCCUCUUCUGAGUUUAAGAAGAGGAUCCUCUUGAACAAAUGAUUUAGGCCGUUUGAUGAAAAUCUAACAGUUACAAAUAAGGAGAUUUUUUUAAAGUUAUAAUAAUUAUAGCUAUUGAAUUUUCAUCCAAUGAUCCAAGUCCUUUGGUCAGAAGGAUCUUCUCCUUGGGCUUAGGAGAGGAUCCAAAUCCUUUCCACACGGCUUCUCCUCGCUUUAUCAUCAGAUAAUUGCGAAUUGCAAUGUUGUCCCCACAAUCUUUUGACCAGAAUAUUGUUCUUGUUUGCGUAAUGACUAAAAUGCCCUUUGUGCUACAAAAGCUACUAUUAAUCCACAAUUAUGUGUUCAUUUAAAAGUGUUUUUAAAAUGAUUAAAAUUGAUUUCGGAUUCGAGUAUUUUACAUGUUUUUUGAAAAAAAAAUACUAAAUUGCAGAAUGCACAUAAAAUGUUUUUUCAGAAUUCAUUUAGAUGUUUGAGGGGGUUGAUUUCGAAACAAUUUUUAUCAAAAACGUUUUAAGUUAUUUUAAAGCACUUUAACUAGCGAUAUAUCGUAGAAUUUGAACGAAAUAAGGGAAGGGACAAUAACGUAAAAUUGAGCAUGAAUGACUUCAACAAUCUGAAUAUGUGGGACCGGUUACGUCUGCACUCAUUUCUCUCUCGAGGAUGAUCCUAGAAACUAUAUAAACCACCACCACACCAUCCAUUCCUUCAGCAUUAAUCUAUCUUGUUCUGUUACCCACCACCGAUCUCCGCCGUCACCGACUCGCCAUGACAACUUCUUACUUCCAGCAACCGCAAACACACCAAACUCGCCGCUGCAAGAGCCACCGGAAAAUGGGGUUCGGAAAACGAUGCUUGAUGAUGGCAAAGCAACAGAAGACACGGUUCUACAUCCUCGGACGCUGCGUUUCCAUGCUCCUCUGCUGGCACGACCACUCCAUCUCAGAUUAGAUAGUUCCACAAUCCGAAACUGAUUGGUCCGUGUGAUGCAGCGGAAUUUACGAUAGAAGGAUCAGGUGGCAGAAUCCUAUUGAUUUUCUGUUCUCCAAACUCCCCCAAGAGUCAAAACUGAAAGCUGAAGAAAAGCCGUGGUUGGUGGCAGAGCUUUAGGGUCGAAAGAACUCGAUCAACGGCAAUUGCUUUCGCAAGCCAAGAGAAAAUAUGAUGUAGAAAUGAAGCUAAAGUGUGCUUGUUUGUAAUUGUGACUUUAGAUUUUGCUUCUUUUGACUUAUGUGACAUACACAUACAAUAAUUCAUGUACACAUGUUGAGAAAUUUGAAAGGAGAUCAAAGAUCAAAUGGAAAACAAUGAUUCACA
Long non-coding RNA from Pyrus x bretschneideri (Chinese white pear), 5615 nucleotides. RefSeq lists it as uncharacterized. The transcript is spliced from 4 exons. The record is from RefSeq and is a predicted model, not a curated record. NCBI's taxonomy places the organism in Eukaryota, Viridiplantae, Streptophyta, Magnoliopsida, Rosales, Rosaceae.